ACUGUUAACUUCUUCUUUUGCGGGAGCAAGGCUGCUUCGAGUUCAUUGACUUAAGAGCAAGUACAUCGUUCUUGUUCAGCCAGAGAGAUACCGUUAUCAGCCUUAGUUUCUUCCCUAUGACACCAUGGAACUACACUUUCGACCACGCACGUUUUCUGUUUGCAUCCAAUUUGAUAUUCCUCAAGUAGCAAUGCACCCAACAUCAGAACAUGGAAAACACAGUUCCUUUUUUUACCAUAUCUUUCUUCCAGGGGAAAGAACCACUGCCAAGUUCCACAAAAAAAAAAAAAAAAGUGGCAUCAAAUAUUUGAAUGACAUAGCAUGUAAAAUCAAAUAUUUUUCCAUCAUUUCCAGGACCGUUGCUCUCUGUGUAAAAUAUAAAUAAGGGACAUGCAUGAUAUAAUUGAAUUUCUUGGAUCCCAUUUUUCUUUUACAGUUUCUGGAGAUUUUGAGGGUUUUAGCAGGGCUUUGACGACUUUCUUUUUUUAUCAUUGUUAGAAUUAUUCUUUACCCUUUCUAUACGAAAUUUAUAGGUCAAUGAAUUUAUUUAGUUAUUUGUAAAACAUAUAAGAAGCGAUAAACAAAGAAAAUUGCCUUUUGUCUCCUUUUCUUUUCCGAUUCCAUCUAUUCAGUCAACCCACUGCUGUCUGCUACCUCAGAUCUCUUUUCCUUUUUCUUUACUUAUAUUACACCUAUAGAAGAGUAGAUAUGGAACUCAAAAACAGAGUAGAAGAAGAGAACUGUUUAAUGAACGAAGCUUUGCUGCUUGCUACCAUGUACAUCCUUGGUCUGCCAGUGGAUGUGCAUUUGAGAGAUGGCUCUGUUUACUCUGGAAUCUUCCACACUGCUGCUGUUGAGAAAGAAUUUGGUACUGUUUUGUAGAAAGCAAAAUUGACUAAAAAGGGAAGAUGUGCUACCAAUAUUGCAAAUGGCAGUGUAGUAGAGACACUUGUAAUCCUUGCUGGUGAUCUUGUUCAAGUUGUUGCCAAGGGAGUUCCACUUCCUUUUGAUGGUUUUGCUGGAAAUAUAACUCAUGGUAAUGAAGAAGCUGCUUUUGAAAUUCUCUCUUCUUCUGCCAAUCCACUGAAUGUGACCAGGAAGUUCAAUAAGUCUACCAUGGAUAAAAGUAAAAGUAAUAGGAAAAGGUAGCUGAUAGAAAUUUGUGUUUUAAGGAUAAAGAAAUUUUGGUUUUAAUCUUAUUAUUAUUUGGCUAGUA
Long non-coding RNA from Gossypium raimondii (Peruvian cotton), 1216 nucleotides. RefSeq lists it as uncharacterized. The record is from RefSeq and is a predicted model, not a curated record. The transcript has 3 exons. NCBI's taxonomy places the organism in Eukaryota, Viridiplantae, Streptophyta, Magnoliopsida, Malvales, Malvaceae.